This 1976-nucleotide ribosomal RNA is filed under the name Drosophila melanogaster (fruit fly). RNAcentral's name for it is "SSU rRNA". It matches the Rfam family "Eukaryotic small subunit ribosomal RNA". Lineage: Eukaryota; Metazoa; Arthropoda; Insecta; Diptera; Drosophilidae. The record is from RNAcentral.
UCUGGUUGAUCCUGCCAGUAGUUAUAUGCUUGUCUCAAAGAUUAAGCCAUGCAUGUCUAAGUACACCGAAUUAAAAGUGAAACCGCAAAAGGCUCAUUAUAUCAGUUAUGGUUCCUUAGAUCGUUAACAGUUACUUGGAUAACUGUGGUAAUUCUAGAGCUAAUACAUGCAAUUAAAAACAUGAACUUAUGGACAUGUGCUUUAUUAGGCUAAAACCAAGCGAUCGCAAGAUCGUUAUAUUGGUUGAAACUCUAGAUAACAUGCAGAUCGUAUGGUCUUGUACCGACGACAGAUCUUUCAAAUGUCUGCCCUAUCAACUUUUGAUGGUAGUAUCUAGGACUACCAUGGUUGCAACGGGUAACGGGGAAUCAGGGUUCGAUUCCGGAGAGGGAGCCUGAGAAACGGCUACCACAUCUAAGGAAGGCAGCAGGCGCGUAAAUUACCCACUCCCAGCUCGGGAGGUAGUGACGAAAAAUAACAAUACAGGACUCAUAUCCGAGGCCCUGUAAUUGGAAUGAGUACACUUUAAAUCCUUUAACAAGGACCAAUUGGAGGGCAAGUCUGGUGCCAGCAGCCGCGGUAAUUCCAGCUCCAAUAGCGUAUAUUAAAGUUGUUGCGGUUAAAACGUUCGUAGUUGAACUUGUGCUUCAUACGGGUAGUACAACUUACAAUUGUGGUUAGUACUAUACCUUUAUGUAUGUAAGCGUAUUACCGGUGGGUUCUUAUAUGUGAUUAAAUACUUGUAUUUUUUCAUAUGUUCCUCCUAUUUAAAAACCUGCAUUAGUGCUCUUAAACGAGUGUUAUUGUGGGCCGGUACUAUUACUUUGAACAAAUUAGAGUGCUUAAAGCAGGCUUCAAAUGCCUGAAUAUUCUGUGCAUGGGAUAAUGAAAUAAGACCUCUGUUCUGCUUUCAUUGGUUUUCAGAUCAAGAGGUAAUGAUUAAUAGAAGCAGUUUGGGGGCAUUAGUAUUACGACGCGAGAGGUGAAAUUCUUGGACCGUCGUAAGACUAACUUAAGCGAAAGCAUUUGCCAAAGAUGUUUUCAUUAAUCAAGAACGAAAGUUAGAGGUUCGAAGGCGAUCAGAUACCGCCCUAGUUCUAACCAUAAACGAUGCCAGCUAGCAAUUGGGUGUAGCUACUUUUAUGGCUCUCUCAGUCGCUUCCGGGAAACCAAAGCUUUUGGGCUCCGGGGAAGUAUGGUUGCAAAGCUGAAACUUAAAGGAAUUGACGGAAGGCACCACCAGGAGUGGAGCCUGCGGCUUAAUUUGACUCAACACGGGAAAACUUACCAGGUCCGAACAUAAGUGUGUAAGACAGAUUGAUAGCUCUUUCUCGAAUCUAUGGUGGUGGUGCAUGGCCGUUCUUAGUUCGUGGAGUGAUUUGUCUGGUUAAUUCCGAUAACGAACGAGACUCAAAUAUAUUAAAUAGAUAUCUUCAGGAUUAUGGUGCUGAAGCUUAUGUAGCCUUCAUUCAUGUUGGCAGUAAAAUGCUUAUUGUGUUUGAAUGUGUUUAUGUAAGUGGAGCCGUACCUGUUGGUUUGUCCCAUUAUAAGGACACUAGCUUCUUAAAUGGACAAAUUGCGUCUAGCAAUAAUGAGAUUGAGCAAUAACAGGUCUGUGAUGCCCUUAGAUGUCCUGGGCUGCACGCGCGCUACAAUGAAAGUAUCAACGUGUAUUUCCUAGACCGAGAGGUCCGGGUAAACCGCUGAACCACUUUCAUGCUUGGGAUUGUGAACUGAAACUGUUCACAUGAACUUGGAAUUCCAGUAAGUGUGAGUCAUUAACUCGCAUUGAUUACGUCCCUGCCCUUUGUACACACCGCCCGUCGCUACUACCGAUUGAAUUAUUUAGUGAGGUCUCCGGACGUGAUCACUGUGACGCCUUGCGUGUUACGGUUGUUUCGCAAAAGUUGACCGAACUUGAUUAUUUAGAGGAAGUAAAAGUCGUAACAAGGUUUCCGUAGGUGAACCUGCGGAAG